Non-coding RNA from Nelumbo nucifera (sacred lotus), 436 nucleotides. Lineage: Eukaryota; Viridiplantae; Streptophyta; Magnoliopsida; Proteales; Nelumbonaceae. The record is from RefSeq and is a predicted model, not a curated record.
GCAUGUGUUUAUGUAUAUAUAUCGGCAAGUUGCAGGUCGAUCAGGAAAUUGGGGAGACUUUUCACAUUCAAGGAGUGACCAAGUAAGAGGAGACUAUCUUGAGUCGUUUAAACGGCGUCCUCCUCCGAAGGAACUGGAUUAGAAAUAAACUGUAAUUGACGGAUGGGGCUGUUCAGUACUGCUGUAGCAUCUCUUAAUUCAAUGGGGAAUAUUCGAAUGUGUUGAUCGUGUGCGCCAAUUAAAGGAAAGUUUGCUACAAGCCGAGCUAUGGUACAAGGAUCUCUGCAAGCCGAGUUUUCGGCUUUCAAUUAGGAAUGGAGAUCGCUGAAGCGUUGAAGUUGGAAUUUGAUUUAACCUUAAUUUGAAAUCAAAUACUGGAGUGACAAUUGAAGCUCUGUAUCAGAUUAAUCUAUAGCAGAUUGAUUGGAGUCUUUUA